AUUGAACGCUGGCGGCAUGCCUUACACAUGCAAGUCGAAUGGCAGCACGGGAGCAAUCCUGGUGGCGAGUGGCGAACGGGUGAGUAAUAUAUCGGAACGUGCCCGGUCGUGGGGAUAACGUAGCGAAAGCUACGCUAAUACCGCAUACGAUCUACGGAUGAAAGCGGGGGAUCGCAAGACCUCGCGCGAUUGGAGCGGCCGAUAUCAGAUUAGGUAGUUGGUGAGGUAAAGGCUCACCAAGCCGACGAUCUGUAGCUGGUCUGAGAGGACGACCAGCCACACUGGGACUGAGACACGGCCCAGACUCCUACGGGAGGCAGCAGUGGGGAAUUUUGGACAAUGGGCGCAAGCCUGAUCCAGCAAUGCCGCGUGCAGGAUGAA
RNAcentral lists this ribosomal RNA (381 nucleotides) under uncultured bacterium. Its description in RNAcentral is "bacterial SSU rRNA". It matches the Rfam family "Bacterial small subunit ribosomal RNA", at positions 30 to 412 of the family's 1533-position model. The record is from RNAcentral.